Molecule: microRNA, 22 nt
Filed under: Marchantia polymorpha subsp. ruderalis
Lineage: Eukaryota; Viridiplantae; Streptophyta; Marchantiopsida; Marchantiales; Marchantiaceae
Source: RNAcentral
UAGCGUGGAUCUCUAUUCCUUG